Molecule: ribosomal RNA, 651 nt
Filed under: uncultured archaeon
Lineage: Archaea
Description: bacterial SSU rRNA
Rfam family: Archaeal small subunit ribosomal RNA
Source: RNAcentral
CCCGACUGCUAUCGGGGUGAGGCUAAGCCAUGGGAGUCGCGCGCCCCGCCGCCGCGGGGCGCGGCGCACGGCUGAGUAACACGUGGCUAACCUGCCCUCGGGACGGGGAUAACCCCGGGAAACUGGGGCUAAUCCCCGAUAGGCGAGGGGGCCUGGAAGGGUCCCUCGCCGAAAGGGACCUCAGGGGGUUAUCGCCUGGGGUCCGCCCGAGGAUGGGGCCACGGCCCAUCAUGGUAGUUGGCGGGGUAAUGGCCCGCCAAGCCGACGACGGGUAGGGGCCGUGGGAGCGGGAGCCCCCAGAUGGGCCCUGAGACAAGGGCCCAGGCCCUACGGGGCGCACCAGGCGCGAAACCUCCGCAAUGCGGGAAACCGUGACGGGGUCACCCCGAGUGCCCCCGUAAGGGGGCUUUUCCCCGCUGCAAGGAGGCGGGGGAAUAAGCGGGGGGCAAGUCUGGUGUCAGCCGCCGCGGUAAUACCAGCCCCGCGAGUGGUCGGAACUCUUGCUGGGCCUAAAGCGCCCGUAGCCGGCCCGGUAAGUCCCUCCUUAAAGCCCCGGGCUCAACCCGGGGAGCGGGGGGAUACUGCCGGGCUAGGGGGCGGGAGAGGCCGGGGGUACCCCAGGGGUAGGGGCGAAAUCCGAUAAUCCCUGGG